UACCUGCAGCUCAAGUGGUGGCCGCUAUUAUUGGGCCUAAAACGUUCGUAGCCGGUUUGGUAAAUGCCUGGGUAAAUCGUGUAGCUUAACUGUACGAAUUCCGGGUAGACUGCCAAACUUGAGACCGGGAGAAGCUAGAGGUACUCCUGGGGUAGAGGUGAAAUUCUGUAAUCCUAGGGGGACCACCAGUGGCGAAGGCGUCUAGCUAGAACGGGUUUGACGGUGAGGAACGAAGCCCUGGGGCGCAAACCGGAUUAGAUACCCCGGGUAGUCCAGGGUGUAAACGCUGCCUGCUUGAUGUUAGUUGGGCUCCGAGCCCAAUUAGUGUCGGAGAGAAGUUGUUAAGCAAGCUGCCUGGGAAGUACGAUCGCAAGAUUGAAACUUAAAGGAAUUGGCGGGGGAGCACAGCAACGGGUGGAGCGUGCGGUUU
This 430-nucleotide ribosomal RNA is filed under the name uncultured archaeon. RNAcentral's name for it is "bacterial SSU rRNA". It matches the Rfam family "Archaeal small subunit ribosomal RNA", at positions 474 to 903 of the family's 1478-position model. The record is from RNAcentral.